Molecule: long non-coding RNA, 491 nt
Filed under: Mytilus galloprovincialis (Mediterranean mussel)
Lineage: Eukaryota; Metazoa; Mollusca; Bivalvia; Mytilida; Mytilidae
Source: RNAcentral
UACAUUGUAAUCAAUUAUUCUUUUCUCUCUGACUUCUCAAUCUGUACUGAAUCAGGGGUUGUUCAUGAAAAUAGUUUUCACACAAACAAAAUUUACAAAAUUAUAAUUUAUUUUAUAAAUCUCACAUCAAAUCUACAUGCUUAUGCAUGUAUGUGGUUUUAAGAUUGCAUCGCACAUGCCAUUACUUUCAUUUUCAAAUUUAUCACUGAUGGUUUAAACUGUAUAAUGUAGGCUGCAUUAUUUUGCAACUUGUCCACUGUGCCUCCACCAAUACCAUUAAAUUCCCACUAAGUUGCACUGAAUUAAAGCCAGGUUUAACAUUCAAUUAUUGGUUAAAGCUUGAUGAUGAGAACGAACAAACGAAACGUCCUCUGGAUAAAGUUUGUACAUGUUUAAAAUCUACCAAUGUCAUUACACACUCAUCUACAUGUACAUGUAUGUGACGCAUAAUUCCGGUUAGGUUGUAACUUCAAGUCAUUUGUUAAAGCUUG